CAAGUGUUUUACACGUUGUCAUCUGAGGAGUUUUGUACGUCAUCCCCGUUUUAGAAAUAGAAAAAAAUUAUGUGCAUAGACGGAGUCGAACUGUGGUCUCAUGGAUUGUCUGGGGUUACAUCUAGCAUUACGUCUAAUGCCCUAUCACUACAGUCAACCCAAUCAUUGGCUUCAUCAACAAGUUCUCAGCCCACUAUGAUGCCACUUAAAAAGUGGAUGUCUGUCUUGCCAACGCUUCUUGUUAUAUAUCCAACAAGAUACCAGUAGAACCAUCUAUCACAGUCACACACACACAUCCAUCUUUUCUUUAAAUGCAUAUAUACCAAGAAAUAUCUGCGAUCUGGUAGCAUACAGCUUCACCUCCUCGCAUCACCAGAGCAUUAACACUCGAAACUCAUGUUGAAACACCACAACCGAAACUCAGUUGUCUUCCCACGUCUGGUUCAUUCAGGUUUAGGAGAGCAUAGUUCUGUUGAUAGAACACAACACAAUUAGCAUCAUAAAUUUUCUUCAUAUCUUUUUAUUUCAAAACAGAAUGUAAUCUAUAUUAAAUUAUCACCAAGUCAGAAAUUAGAGAAGAGUAAUAGUUAGGCAAACAACCUAAAUACAUGGGGAUUCCUCUAUACACAUCCCCAGAAAGUACCAUAGUGACCAUCUUAUGGUACUAUGGUGUUUAGGUGCAGCUGCAUAUUCAUCUUUCAUAUUUUCACAUACAUAAUCUAAUCAGGCCAUCAGGCACUCAAUUUUGAGUGAACAAAACACUCUCAUUAAGCGAUCAAAAUUUUAUCAUGAUAUAAUAGAAUAAAUAAACCAAAUACAAGCUAUAUAUGAUUACUGAAAAUGGUUGUUUGCUACCAAGAAAAGUAAUGGUGUUGCAGCAAGAUGAUCUGAAUGUAAAUCAGAUGGAGCCGAAUGCUGAACCUACUUCUUGCGGCUAGCUCGUCUAACAAUGGAAUAUGAGUAGCCCAUUUGUAUGCACAACCUUAUUGCAGUAGCUAAAGGGGUCUGUCCCCCACUCGCUCAUGUCAUCAGCUAUCAGCUAUGAAUGAUGAUGAGAUGUACCAUGUAUGAUCUUAGCAUUACUAAAAAAAGGAUACCUGAUCGAUAAGAUGUAUUCUCUUAGAAUUACUCAAAAUCAAAGAGUUAACUUUCAAAUACCCCAACAUCUGAGGUUAGAACUUUAUACCAAGAAAGACUUCUUUGCUCGGAGCAAGCGCCGGAGCUCCCUGAACCUACACAUUGCAACCUUUGUGUUAGUCAAGGUAAAAAAAAUAGCAAGGCAUUGGUAAUCAUGAAUGUACCAUAUAAUCAAGUUAUUUGCUUCGUUGAUGUCUGGGUUGAAGUAUAGCCGAGACUGCUCAGUCGUAUGCAACACAGCAUCUGAAAUUGAGUGUAAGAAAGACUUCAAAGUAUUAGCAGACAACCUAAAACUCAGCAGCAGAAAGCCAAAAUAUAAAUAGUGAAGGGUUUUCUUCCCCGCAAAACAUAUGCCAAAGGAUACUAAGCAUAAUAAUAACCCAUUUAGUUGUCUAGAUGACCAGAUUAAAUCGUAAGCAUUACGUGGUUCUUAUUUCAGUGAAAGGAAUUCGGUUGAAUAAUGAUUGCCAAUGCAUGUUAGCAUGUAUGAUUCAGAAACCACACAGAGCAUAAUUUAGGAGCAGAUACAUCUGUUUUCAGAGCCUGCAGCUCAUAAUGAAAUGCUAGAAAAUUUUAUCGUCCUACUAAAAACAUGAGGAAAUUAUCAAUGUCAAAGUUGUUGCGUCUAAAGUCAAACAUAACUACUAUAUCAGGUUACUAAGAUGGUGUUCUGUAUGAACAUAUAGUUAAUGAAAAAAAUGAGAAAAUACUUGUGUAAAUAGAACAACAAGAAUUGUAAAUGUAUGGACUUGGAUUUCACAACUUAAUGUGAACUGAGACUGCAUUAGAAAGAAGAAAAGCCUGGUACAGUUUGCUUUGCAAUGAAAUUUGAUUGAAUCAUUAAAUUAUCAAGACCAAUUAGAUAACAACAAGGGAAGAACAGGAAGGGAGAAUCAGAACGUUCACCUAUCAAGCGUGAGUAGUAGUAGUUGCCUAGUAGCAGGUCAGAUAGGAUGACAAUAGGCAGAGAGAGUCAGGCUGCCACAGCUUCCUCAAGCUGAAGAAAUAGGGAGUCGGGGCAACAUCACUGACUUGGCUGGGACCUUGGUGUGUCCUUUUCGUGUUCGACAUCGCAUGGUCCUGCAGCUGCAAGAAGCAAAAUUCCUUGCACUACAUUCAGACAUAGCUGAGAUUAGUUUGUAGUCCAGUCUAGAACCUCUCAGAUCACUGUUAAAUGUCUGGAACUGAAGACUAAAAUUUCUCCUCUUAGUAUAUGAUACGAAGUUUCUUUAUACGGGUAAAAUUUCAGUAGAACAAAAAAGGUAUCAACCCUUAAUUUUACUCCAUAUGCCUUACCAUAGAUAUGGUCACUGCACCAGCAUCCCUCUGUUGAAAUCAAUCUGUUGAAACCUCAACCACAGAAGUAGUACGAAGCUAUUCUUCUGACUUCACUCUCAAAAACUGCACGUGCUUGAUCGACUAUUGCACCUAGAGACAAUCCUGCAAUCAAUGCUUAUAAGUUCAACAAUCCUAAAUUCCUAAUAUACUCCCUCCAUCCGAAAAUACUUGUCAUCAAAAUGGAUAAAAAGAGAUGUAUGUACAACUAAAAUACAUCUAGAUACAUCUUCUUUUAUCCAUUUUGAAGACAAGUAUUUCCUGACGGAGGGAGUAUGUUUUAAGGGCCAAUGAAUGAGAAAUGCUAAAUGAUAAACCUGGUGCAUAAAAGCAAAUAAAACUAUGAUCAAAGGACCACAGAGAGAUCUGAUGUUGGUAAAAUGCUGAGUUGAACUGGGACAAAUCCUCGGAUAAAUCAAAAUCAGAUUAUCUAUUGUGGUACACAAAUCAAGCGGGAACACACAAACAAUCAGGAAAUGUAGGACCACUUGAUGACUAUAAACUUGACAAUAAAGAUGUCUCAUUUUCAUGAUAGGCUGCUUUAUUUGUCAGUAUUGACACCAAAGAUUUUUGCCUUGCCAAUCUAUUCAUAUUCAACCUUUUCAUUGUCAUGUACAAAAUCUUUUACAGCAAAGUGUGUACAUAGAAAAUUAUGGUGCUUAAUUCUGCUUGGUUGAUUCUCCUGGUGCAUCCUCCGCUAGAACUACCAUCUGCUUGGUGCAGAGUGAUCCUAUGUUGUUUGAUUACACAAAGUAUUGCCACUAAAAAUGGGUUGUCCAUGUUUCAUGUCCUAAGCAUAAUGUUGUUGCCCCGUUUCAGUAUGAUACUAUUUUUUGAACUUACAAACCUGCAUGCAUGUGCAAAUAAUUUUGUUUUAACAUCUUAACACCUGCAAGUCAUUGUGUUCUGACAAAUGAUGUUUCAGACUAAAUUGAUUAACUAACAGUGUGUCUUGACAAAUGAUGUUUCAGACAUGUCUAGCUAUAAAAGAAUUUUAGAGGGUUGUACAUAGACCAGACAUUGACCGGACAUUCGAACAGUGCAUGAAUAUCUAUAUUAUAUACAGUGACACUAAAGAAUUCAGUAUAAGUCAGAUACAACUAUAUGGAAAGAUUGGGCUAGAAACCUAAUUACAUGGAUCAAUCCGUCAGUUAAAAAAUGUCAUUACUCCGUACGGAAACAAGCAUCCACGAUUGAAAGCUCCCAGAGUCCAAAUCCGAUGGCCAAUACUCCGUACAGAAAAGGAUUUGUGCAGAGGCAUCAGGAUCGCGUCGGAGCAUGAACGGAACGGGGCGGGACACGGCGAUAGCAGUGAUUUUGACCCACCCGGCAGCGGCGGAGGGGAGUUCCUGGACGUGGCGCCUGUGGGGUAGAAGCCGAGCGGCAGGCGGCGACGGCGACCGACGCUCCAGGAGAGGCCGUCUGCAACGGCACGUGUGUGCCCGGAGGAAGCCGCAACUCCUCCUCGCGCGUCCCUGCUGUGGCUCGCGUGCGUGGUGGCGACAGGUUUAGUCGGGGUGGAUCGGAAGGGAAGGGGCGGCGGCGUUUGCUGGGAAGUGGGGCGAAUGCGCGGUGUGUCUUAGCCAUGGCAGCGUGGGAAAUCCGGUCGUCGCCGUCGUUGAUCUAGUCAGGAGGAAGGCCGACAGUCACGAGGGAAGGUCCAACAGAGACAGGGAGAGAGAUUAGCGAGGAGAGGGAGAGAGAAGGGAGGAGGAGGGCGCAGGGUGUGGCUGACCGGCGAGGAUGUCGUCGCAGCUUGCAGGAGAGUGGGCCGCGACCGGAGGCGGGGUCGACUCGGGGUGGAUGAGAUGGCAGCGCACGGAGGGGAAGGGAGGAGCGGUGGCAGUUGCUACGGAUCCG
This 4332-nucleotide long non-coding RNA is filed under the name Triticum aestivum (bread wheat). RNAcentral describes it as "long non-coding RNA (TAES_LNC027797)". The stretch from base 2618 to 2752 matches the Rfam family "MIR1120/MIR1122 microRNA precursor family". Lineage: Eukaryota; Viridiplantae; Streptophyta; Magnoliopsida; Poales; Poaceae. The record is from RNAcentral.